Molecule: ribosomal RNA, 1017 nt
Filed under: Triticum aestivum (bread wheat)
Lineage: Eukaryota; Viridiplantae; Streptophyta; Magnoliopsida; Poales; Poaceae
Description: partial small subunit ribosomal RNA
Source: RNAcentral
AUGCACCGUCCUGCCAACCUUCAGUGCUGCAGUCUGCGCACAUGCAGGGAGAACAGCCGCAACGGUCACUGCAUCCGGCCAUACUGCAGCAUGCCUCAUCCUACGAAAGAGCCGCAUUGUCCCCAUAUGGUCAGCCGAGUACUGCAAUGCGGACAGCAUCGAGUUCCAGCUGAACAAGUCCCUGUCCUGCUCUGCCAUCCCCUCAAACACCAUUGCCGCAUUGGCCACAUCAUGGGACUUCCCAUAAAGAUCCACCAAGGCAUUACAAACCGAAACAUUGUGGUCAAGUCCCGACUUCACCACCAUCCCGUGAACAGCAGCCCCGCGCUCAAAAUCCGUGGUCGCGGUGCAGACCGACAGGAUUCCGGUGACAGUGAAAGCGCUGAUCUCCACCAUGCCAUCCUGCCUCAUCCGCAGGAAGCACUCCAUGGCGCGGUCGAAGCAUCCGAGCUUGGCGAACCCAUUGACCAUCGCGUUCCAGACCACGACGUCCCGGAGGGGCAAUCUGUCGAACAGGCGGUGCGCGUAGUCAGCGAGGCCGAACCUGAGGUAGCCGCGGAGCAGGGCGCUGGCGCAGAAGAGGUCGUCGGCGACGUCGCAGCGGAGCGAGAGGGCGUGGAUCGCGAGGAGGUGGGGCGGGGACGGGGCGGAGGAGGCGAGCGGCGGGAAGGAGAAGGAGUCGGGGGAGUGGACGAGGCGGAGGCGGCAGAAGACGCGGAGCGCGAGCGGGUAGGGCAGGGAGAGCGCGGCGUUGAAGCAGGGGAGAGGGGAGGUGGGCGGGAGGAGGUGGUGGACGACGGGGUGGAGGGCCGGGACGCGCGCGUAGAGGGAGACGAGGGUCGUGAGGAUGGCGGGGCUGGAGGCGAGGCGGCCGGAGGUGAGAAGGUGGGCGUGGAGCGGCAGGAGGAGGCGCCGGCUGGGGGCACGCGAGUGGGAGACGAUGGCGCGGAGCGGGACGUAGAGGGCCGCCAUUUUCCUCGGCGGCGGCGUGGACUGGUGGCGCUUUCAGAGUUCUGA